CCUUCCAGAAUGCUCUCAUGAUUUCCCAGCUGCUGCCCGUUCUGAACCACAAGACCUACAUUGAUCUGAUCUUCCCAGACUGCCUGGCACCACGAGUCAUGUUGGAACCAGCUGCUGAGACCAUUCCUCAGGCCCAAGAGAUCAUCAGUGUCACACUGCAGGUGCUUAGCCUCUUGCCACCGUACAGACAGUCCAUCUCUGUUCUUGCCGGGUCCACCGUGGAAGAUGUCCUGAAGAAGGCCCAUGAGUUAGGAGGAUUCACGUGAGAUUCCCACCUCCCAGUCCUCACCCCACCCAACCUCACAUGCCUGAUACAGGGUCACAGAAGAGACGGGGGACAGAGGAGAGGGUUCUCUUGGGAGAGACACUGGCCCUGCUUCUGCUUCUACCUGCUCCGCUCCUUUCUUGCCCACGGUCUUAUGGAAACGGAGCCAUAGGCCAGCAUUGUCAUAGAGCAGGCUUUGGAAGCAGAGUCCC
Molecule: small RNA, 477 nt
Filed under: Pongo abelii (Sumatran orangutan)
Lineage: Eukaryota; Metazoa; Chordata; Mammalia; Primates; Hominidae
Description: retained intron
Source: RNAcentral